Molecule: non-coding RNA, 70 nt
Organism: Dipodomys ordii (Ord's kangaroo rat)
Lineage: Eukaryota; Metazoa; Chordata; Mammalia; Rodentia; Heteromyidae
Source: Rfam
GGGAAAGUGGCUCAGUGGUAGAGCGCUUGCCUUGCAUGCCAGAAGCCCUGGGUUCAAUUCCUCAGCACCA